GUUAACAAGGACUCAGCAAAAGGGAAGGAAACACUGAGUCCAGAUCAGGGAGACAGUCAUCAGAGGUAAGAAGAGCAUAGAGCAGUAAGUAAAUUUCGUUGAAGAUAUAUUCGGAUAAGCUCCAGGAAUAGAGAAUCUUGUGGAAAGAUAUGGAAGAGAAAAAUGAGACCGUAGAACAGUCCAUGAUGGCAGAAGUACAAGUUGAGGCCCC
Molecule: long non-coding RNA, 211 nt
Organism: Hevea brasiliensis (rubber tree)
Lineage: Eukaryota; Viridiplantae; Streptophyta; Magnoliopsida; Malpighiales; Euphorbiaceae
Exons: 3
Source: RefSeq, a predicted model, not a curated record